This is a non-coding RNA of Neurospora crassa OR74A, 956 nucleotides long. NCBI's taxonomy places the organism in Eukaryota, Fungi, Ascomycota, Sordariomycetes, Sordariales, Sordariaceae. The record is from RefSeq and is a predicted model, not a curated record.
CUUUCUUUUGCCUCUGUCCACAAUCUGCCAUGUGCCCUGUCAACUGCCUCGCCCUCCCCCAGAACUGCGCGUGUGCUGCACAGUCCCCUCUGCUCUCGGAUCCUGGAAGUGGAUUCGCAAACCCGGGAACAUGCAUCCGCCCCCAAUCUAGGGAAGCCUACCUCUACGCGUCGCGAACCGGAUCAUUUCCAACCUCCACCUGCGGUUUUGAGAUUUGAGGGAGAGCACCGCCUGCCACGACCAAUCUUGAGCUUGGUCAACGUCAUCCGGUACAGAGAUAGCGUUGCGAGUUAGGCCUCGAAUGUUGUCAAGUGGCCGUCAGACAAGAAUCAAGAGGCUAGACGAGGCCAGCCAAUCCAUGUAAUGGAAGCAAAAGACUGUGACACCCCACCCUUUGCACCUGUGCCAGUCGGUGUUGACUCGUGAGCCUCAAGAGGAACGCGAGAGGUUUUACCCGCUCCCGUCGUCCGCCUUCUCGAAUAUCCAAAUGCUCGGUAUCGAACGGCUGCUCUUCAAAAGCCAAUUGCUUCGCCCUAUCGAAGACUACUUACGGAUGUGUCCGCCGUGGGAAAGGCGCUGACCUAGCCUUUCUUAAUCCCCAUUCUUCCUCUUACGACAAAAUGGUUCAUAUCUCUCACAAAGGAGCCAUCAGUAACAGCUCAUUCUCAUAGUUGAUAACUCUGUCGGUCCUGGUUUCUCGAUACGGCAGGUCGGGGAAGGGGGUUGCGGCGCGGAUAUGACUGCCUUUUCUCAUGUUAGUUCGGGAUCAUUAUAUGCAGCAUCGAAUCAGCCUAGCGUAUCGCAGGUACUCGUUAUGGCAUUCUGACUGAACCCUUUUCAAACAGGUAUGGUGCCAAAUGGACGCUAAUUAACUUUUUCAUUGGAUAGGGGCAUAGAUUUUUGAAGCAGGUUGAGUCGCUGCUUCAAGGCAUUCUAAUGCAACCAUGUACUAUAUG